Molecule: small nuclear RNA, 114 nt
Organism: Megalobrama amblycephala (Wuchang bream)
Lineage: Eukaryota; Metazoa; Chordata; Actinopteri; Cypriniformes; Xenocyprididae
Product: U5 spliceosomal RNA
Exons: 1
Source: RefSeq, a predicted model, not a curated record
ACACUCAUGUUUUUCUUCAUAUCGCAUAAAUCUUUCGCCUUUUACUAAAGAUUUCCGUGGAGAGGAACGCUAUGAGUAUAAACUAAUUUUUGACGCCCUGCUUAACUGCGGGGC